RNAcentral lists this non-coding RNA (26 nucleotides) under Homo sapiens (human). The record is from RNAcentral. Lineage: Eukaryota; Metazoa; Chordata; Mammalia; Primates; Hominidae.
UUCACAUUGUUGAUCCCCGUUGUUCC